ACGCUCGACAUAUAAACGGCUUACGAUGUUUCUGUAUUGGUUUCCUAAACCGAAGGUCACAGGUUCGAAUCCUGUCGGGCGUA
RNAcentral lists this transfer RNA (83 nucleotides) under Planctomycetota bacterium. Its description in RNAcentral is "Planctomycetes bacterium (marine sediment metagenome) tRNA-OTHER". It matches the Rfam family "tRNA". Rfam says of the family: Transfer RNA (tRNA) molecules are approximately 80 nucleotides in length. The record is from RNAcentral. RNAcentral also lists the same sequence under 1 other name. Lineage: Bacteria; Pseudomonadati; Planctomycetota.